GGAACACGAAGUGGGGAUCUGCACUUGGGGUGGUCAACACUGCGGAUGCCCAGCAAAGGCACUGCCUGGUCCACCUCCCGGAGGGGUCUCUGCGCCCCAGUCGGCAUCGCAGCUGAUGGUGAAACUUUUGGUGUGGCAGAAGAGUGUCCACAAACUUUGGAAGUUGCUAAAGAAAAAUGAAAACGACUAGUUUUGAAAGCCUUACUUCUGCCAAUGGAAGCACAUUCCAGCAUGUCGCCAACGCAAUCCACUUUCCACCACUUUCACAAGAAACGUUACUGCACAAUUAUACUAUCCUACCCUUAUAUA
Molecule: small RNA, 309 nt
Filed under: Pongo abelii (Sumatran orangutan)
Lineage: Eukaryota; Metazoa; Chordata; Mammalia; Primates; Hominidae
Description: processed transcript
Source: RNAcentral